This 254-nucleotide ribosomal RNA is filed under the name uncultured bacterium. RNAcentral describes it as "partial 16S ribosomal RNA". It matches the Rfam family "Bacterial small subunit ribosomal RNA", at positions 524 to 776 of the family's 1533-position model. The record is from RNAcentral.
UACGUAGGUGGCAAGCGUUGUCCGGAUUUAUUGGGCGUAAAGCGCGCGCAGGUGGUGCGGUAAGUCUGCCGUGAAAUCUCCCGGCUCAACUGGGAGGGGGCGGUGGAGACUGCCGGACUGGAGGGACUCAGAGGCCGGUGGAAUUCCCGGUGUAGUGGUGAAAUGCGUAGAGAUCGGGAGGAACACCAGUGGCGAAGGCGGCCGGCUGGGGGUGCCCUGACGGCUGAGGCGCGAAAGCGUGGGGAGCGAACCGG